GUGCUCGCUUCGGCAGCACAUAUACUAAAACUGGAACAAUACAGAGUAGAUUAGCAUGGCUCCUGCGCAAGGAUAACACGUAAAAAAAUAUAUCUAGUACAGGUCUCA
Octodon degus (degu) is the source of this 108-nucleotide small nuclear RNA. NCBI's taxonomy places the organism in Eukaryota, Metazoa, Chordata, Mammalia, Rodentia, Octodontidae. The record is from Ensembl.